AAUAUUGGACAAUGGAGCGCAACUCUGAUCCAGCCAUGCCGCGUGCAGGAAUGGACAGCCCUACGGGUUGUAAACUGGCUUUUAUACAGGAAGAAACAUUCCUACGUGUAGGAACUUGACGGUACUGUAAGAAUAAGGAUCGGCUAACUCCGUGCCAGCAGCCGCGGUAAUACGGAGGAUCCAAGCGUUAUCCGGAAUCAUUGGGUUUAAAGGGUCCGUAGGCGGUUUUUUAAGUCAGAGGUGAAAUCCUACAGCUCAACUGUAGAACUGCCUUUGAUACUGAAAGACUUGAGUUAUUGUGAAGUGGUUAGAAUGUGUGGUGUAGCGGUGAAAUGCAUAGAUAUCACACAGAAUACCGAUUGCGAAGGCAGAUCACUAACAAUAUA
RNAcentral lists this ribosomal RNA (386 nucleotides) under uncultured Bacteroidota bacterium. RNAcentral's name for it is "bacterial SSU rRNA". It matches the Rfam family "Bacterial small subunit ribosomal RNA", at positions 360 to 739 of the family's 1533-position model. The record is from RNAcentral. Lineage: Bacteria; Pseudomonadati; Bacteroidota.